UAAGCAUAUCAAUAAGCGGAGGAAAAGAAACUAACAAGGAUUCCCCUAGUAACUGCGAGUGAAGAGGGAAAAGCUCAAAUUUAAAAUCUGGCAGCUUUGGCUGUCCGAGUUGUAAUCUGGAGAAGUGUUUUCAGUGCAGGACCGUGUACAAGUCUCUUGGAAUGGAGCAUCAUAGAGGGUGAGAAUCCCGUCUUUGACACGGACUACCUGUGCUUUGUGAUACACUCUCAAAGAGUCGAGUUGUUUGGGAAUGCAGCUCAAAAUGGGUGGUAAAUUCCAUCUAAAGCUAAAUAUUGGCGAGAGACCGAUAGCGAACAAGUACCGUGAGGGAAAGAUGAAAAGCACUUUGGAAAGAGAGUUAAACAGUACGUGAAAUUGUUGAAAGGGAAACGCUUGAAGUCAGUCGCGUUUGUUAGAACUCAGCUUGGCUUUUGCUUAGUGUACUUUCUAAUGAACGGGCCAACAUCGAUUUCAGUCAGUGGAUAAGGGUAAGGGGAAUGUGGCACCUUCGGGUGUGUUAUAGCCUCUUACCGUAUACAUUUACUGGGAUCGAGGACUGCAGCACUUGUGCUUAGGAUGUUGGCAUAAUGGCUUUAAUCGACCCGUCUUGAAACACGGACCAAGGAGUCUAACAUGCCCGCGAGUGUUAGGGUGGUAAACCCUUGCGCGUAAUGAAAGUGAAAGUUGGGACCUCUGUCAUGGGGGGCACCGACGCCCGGUCCAGAACUUCUGUGACGGUACUGCGGUAGAGCGUGUAUGUUGGGACCCGAAAGAUGGUGAACUAUGCCUGAAUAGGGUGAAGCCAGAGGAAACUCUGGUGGAGGCUCGUAGCGAUUCUGACGUGCAAAUCGAUCGUCAAAUUUGGGUAUAGGGGCGAAAGACUAAUCGAC
This 890-nucleotide ribosomal RNA is filed under the name Resinicium rimulosum. RNAcentral describes it as "LSU rRNA". It matches the Rfam family "Eukaryotic large subunit ribosomal RNA", at positions 35 to 940 of the family's 3401-position model. Lineage: Eukaryota; Fungi; Basidiomycota; Agaricomycetes; Hymenochaetales. The record is from RNAcentral.